AACGCGAAGAACCUUACCUACUCUUGACAUCCAGAGAACUUUCCAGAGAUGGAUUGGUGCCUUCGGGAACUCUGAGACAGGUGCUGCAUGGCUGUCGUCAGCUCGUGUUGUGAAAUGUUGGGUUAAGUCCCGCAACGAGCGCAACCCUUAUCCUUGUUUGCCAGCGAGUAAUGUCGGGAACUCCAGGGAGACUGCCGGUGAUAAACCGGAGGAAGGUGGGGACGACGUCAAGUCAUCAUGGCCCUUACGAGUAGGGCUACACACGUGCUACAAUGGCGCAUACAGAGGGCGGCCAACUUGCGAGAGUGAGCGAAUCCCAAAAAGUGCGUCGUAGUCCGGAUUGGAGUCUGCAACUCGACUCCAUGAAGUCGGAAUCGCUAGUAAUCGUGGAUCAGAAUGCCACGGUGAAUACGUUCCCGGGCCUUGUACACACCGCCCGUCACACCAUGGGAGUGGGCUGCAAAAGAAGUAGGUAGUUUAACCUUCGGGGGGACGUUUACCACUUUGUGGUUCAUGACUGGGGUGAAGUCGUAACAAGGUA
This 541-nucleotide ribosomal RNA is filed under the name Vibrio sp. FG6. RNAcentral's name for it is "bacterial SSU rRNA". It matches the Rfam family "Bacterial small subunit ribosomal RNA", at positions 958 to 1498 of the family's 1533-position model. The record is from RNAcentral. Lineage: Bacteria; Pseudomonadati; Pseudomonadota; Gammaproteobacteria; Vibrionales; Vibrionaceae.